Molecule: ribosomal RNA, 591 nt
Filed under: Bacillus cereus
Lineage: Bacteria; Bacillati; Bacillota; Bacilli; Caryophanales; Bacillaceae
Description: bacterial SSU rRNA
Rfam family: Bacterial small subunit ribosomal RNA
Source: RNAcentral
UGCAGUCGAGCGAAUGGAUUAAGAGCUUGCUCUUAUGAAGUUAGCGGCGGACGGGUGAGUAACACGUGGGUAACCUGCCCAUAAGACUGGGAUAACUCCGGGAAACCGGGGCUAAUACCGGAUAACAUUUUGAACCGCAUGGUUCGAAAUUGAAAGGCGGCUUCGGCUGUCACUUAUGGAUGGACCCGCGUCGCAUUAGCUAGUUGGUGAGGUAACGGCUCACCAAGGCAACGAUGCGUAGCCGACCUGAGAGGGUGAUCGGCCACACUGGGACUGAGACACGGCCCAGACUCCUACGGGAGGCAGCAGUUGGGAAUCUUCCGCAAUGGACGAAAGUCUGACGGAGCAACGCCGCGUGAGUGAUGAAGGCUUUCGGGUCGUAAAACUCUGUUGUUAGGGAAGAACAAGUGCUAGUUGAAUAAGCUGGCACCUUGACGGUACCUAACCAGAAAGCCACGGCUAACUACGUGCCAGCAGCCGCGGUAAUACGUAGGUGGCAAGCGUUAUCCGGAAUUAUUGGGCGUAAAGCGCGCGCAGGUGGUUUCUUAUGUCUGAUGUGAAAGCCCACGGCUCACCCGUGAGGGUCAUUGG